This 39144-nucleotide long non-coding RNA is filed under the name Populus trichocarpa (black cottonwood). Its description in RNAcentral is "long non-coding RNA (PTRI_LNC003574)". Lineage: Eukaryota; Viridiplantae; Streptophyta; Magnoliopsida; Malpighiales; Salicaceae. The record is from RNAcentral.
UUAGAAAACCUCCAACUGAUGGGUGGUCGAGGACUUCCUCUUGUGGACACCAGCUUGAAAUAAAGCACCUGUCUUUAGUUUCUUCAGUGAAUUCUGGCGGCAAUAUCGCACAGUCGCCAGCGAUCAUGUCAGGUCUUAUGAUCCAUAAAAAUGGGUGACCACUUUUUGCAAGUCCCGUUCCAAAUUCAAUGAGCUGCUGCUUUGUAGCGACCGCUACGCUACCAAAAUUAACAUAAACGACUGAGUUGGGUUUCUGGGAAUCCAGCCAUUGGAGACACUCAACUUCUUCUUUCCAUAGAUUACAUCCAAUAGAAUUCAGAUCAUCUUCUUGAAUUUUAUUGAGAAGCAACUGAAGUGGACCAAUCGCAUAGACACGAGGAAACAUGGAGUAAAGGGCAUUCAGAACCUCUUGCUCCAAAGCAUCAAAAGUAUGGAAAAUAACGGCAGAACCUUCAGAAGCCCUCUCAGCACAUUCCACGCAGAAGUUAAACAUAAAAUCAUUUGGAUCUGUUGUUCGAACAAAACUGGGAAGGUCCCUUAACUUUAUAUCUCUCAUUCCUGGGAUCCAAUCUACCACUUUGUCCAAGUAGCCAUUUGUUAGAAAGCUCUCAUCUGCAAACAAAAAUUGAACGUACAUAUAGCUUUCAGUAUUGGAACUAUUUUUUUUCCUUAUAAACGUUAUGCUAGCAAGUGAAUAAAAAUGACUGAAGAAACAGAGAAAAAUAAAAUAAAUAUAAAGAAGGUUCCCUAGCUUGUGUCCUAGUGAAAAACAUGAAUAAUUAAGGGAAAUAGUAUACUUGUAGGAGAAAAUAUUCACGAGUACAACUCACCUGAAGUCCACUCAAAUAAUUAAUUAUGAGGGAAUAACUAUAAACAAAGUGAUUAUUGUAGAAAUCCUCUCUUUGUGAGUGUGGAUUAUUGAGCCUGACUGGUGCAAUAAUUUAUUUAUUUGGAGACAUUUCAAGCAACUCCAAAUCUUAAUGAAACUAUAGUUUUUUUUUUUCUUUGUCCAUACCUUUUAGUGGCGUAAGGCCUUUUUCUUUGAGUGCUUGAAAUUGUUCAAUCCCCAUGAAGCUGCAAGCAGAGAUAGUAAAGAACAACGCAAUAGGAAUUUCGUGCAUCUUAGCAGCAUCGAUAGCGACUGGCAUGAAACCAUCAGAGACGAUGCAAGUCACUGGGGGGGCAUCUGAAGAAGCUGUGUCAUUCAACUUGUCAAGCAGGUCAUUAAAUGGACCCAGCAAGUUCUUCCUGGAAGCCUCGCAAAUUGCAUACGUAUUCUGGGUGGCAUUCUCAUCCGAAGGAGGGAGGCCAUCCGGAAUGGAUUCAAACCGAAAAUCGGGCAAACCAUUCAUGGAAUCAGGACCUCUAGAUUUAAGUAAACGUCUGUGAUUGAACUCUGUAUUGACAAAGGUAAUGUGAAAACCUUUGUAAUGUAAUAGUUUUGCUAGUUUAAGAACUGACUUUAUGUGGCUCUGAGCUGGGGCGGGAAUGCAGACAGCAUGAGGCUUAUGAUCAGCUGAAAUAUUACAAGCCAUCUCUUUAAAUCCCCCCCUUUUUUCUUGUUUUUUUUUUUUUUUUUUUUUUUGCCCUUUCUCUCUCUGUUUGCUCCUUUGCAUGCACAGAAGAAGUUCUGGUAUUUGUAUAGAGCAAUGCUAAAAUUUCUGCUGCAAUUGUUUUUGUUUGUGUGCGAAAGGGAAUCUAACUUAGAACCACACAGCACUGCCUCCAUCACUUUAUCUAGAGAACUUUUAAUCUUAGCCACGUUCAGCAGCGUUGUGUUUUUUCUUCUGGAAUUUUCAACGUGGGGUUUUUGUUGUGAAAUUAAUGUACUUCAACCCUAUUUUAUUAGAGUAAUUUAAAAGCUUUCCUGAACCUCAGGGCAUCUUCGAUUAGAGUUGAUUAAUUUAGCUUAACUGAUUAAGUUUUAGAUUUGUUUUCUAGAAAUUACUAGUUUGAGUUUUAUAAACUUCAGAUUCAUUGGAGAUUUAUUUAGUUAUUAAUUUUAAAAUUCGUGAGAUUAGUCGAGAUACGCAUAGACUGACCCGAAUAUCCAUGUUAAUCUAAAAACAUUUAUUACCCUAUGUUUAUACAACGUUAUUGGUCAGUAUAACUACGUGGUCAUGAGACCUUUUUUAAAUUUAUUUUUAUUUAGUUUUGUGAUAAUUAAAAUAUAUGUAUAGAAAAAAACAACCAAUUAAUUAAAUUCUAGAGUGAAAUAUGUUUUUUUCUUCAGCAAAAACUUUCUUUUUUUAUUCAUGCUUUUUUUCCCCAAUAAAAACAUGUCUUCUUUAUUAGUUGCAUUAUUUUUCAAUAAAAACUAAAAGCAAUUAAAAUAAAUAUUUAAAAAAACUUUAAAUUAUUUUGAUUAAGGAGAAAAAAAUAUAUAUCUUAAUCAAAACUCCCCUUUUCUUGUUCAUGUAUCUCUAUUUCUUAAUUUUUAACAAAAAUAAUUUUUCUAUCAAAAGCAUCGUUUCUAAGGAAAAUUAUGAUUAGCUUCAUCUAAUCCAAUCAGGUAAAUAUUGAAGCCCUAGAUAUAAUAUGAGAUAUAUUUUCAUCAUAAGCCCAAACCUUAAAGCCCAAGAUAUAAAUUACUAAUCCUAUCGUUACAGCAUCAACAAAAGUUUCUCACCUAGCUUUUUCGCCACACGAAACUACUUCGCUUCCAUUUUCGAAGGCACAAAACCGAGAAAGAAAAAUGAAGCCUCGUCAAGAACAAGAAGAAGACGAAGAACGACUUCGUCAAAGAAAACUUGAAGAAUCCCUUGAAAUAAAAUCUCUCCGGCGCAUAGUCAGUGCCUACCUUAAGUAAUUUUAUUGCCCCUUUCUCUCUCAAUUUCCUUUCUUUCUUUCUUUUUUGUUUUGAUUGGAUCUUUUGUGUGUAGUUAUCCAGAGGCAGCAGAAGAGGAUGUGAAAAGAUACGAAAGAUCGUUUAGGAAGCUUCCUCCUUCUCACAAAGUGGGUUCUUGGGGUUUUUUUUCUUUAACUGUUUUCUUGAAAUCUUGAAAGAUUGAGUAAAGUUAUGGGAAAUGAAAUAGGAAGCUACUGAAUUAGGAAUUAAAGGGAAAUGGGAUUUAGAAAAAAAUGAAUUUGCUGUACUGCUUACUUAAUUUUGUGUCACUGAUUAUUGAUUUUAAUGGAAUUAAAGUCAAGUCACUAACUACCCCACCAGGUGCAUUGACUUGAAGUCACUGAAACCAGCAGCAUUGUGACUGCAAUGUUCUUAAAGUAAUUUCUGAAUUGUGAAUAUAGAUAUUAAAUUGUAUGUUAAAUUUUUGUUUUACUGUGACUAAACUGGAAUUUAGGAAUUUGAAUUUUAUUUGCAAUAUCUAAUAUUUACGGCUUGAAUAUACGCCAGAAAGUUUUGAUUUUUGGCUUUGUUACAAGGAAAAAUUUAUGAAUUAUAUACGUUCUUUUGAUGAUAAUGGAUUCUGGAUAACAUGGGAUAUAUCUGUUUUUCUUAAAUAUAUUUUACAGGCUUUGUUAUCACACUACCCUUUGAAGUUUCAAAGUCUAAGAAGGUAAUUCCCCGAGAGUGCUAUUGCUUGGUUUAGGUUUCACAAGUUCACACAGACACAUGAGCAGACUCUUAGAAAGCAAUUGCCUUGAGUAUGGAAAAGAAAUAUUAAGUUAGUGUAAUGUUGGAGUUUGUGAACAAUUUGCUUUUUAUUCUGCAGGUGUAUUUCUAUAAAUUCGUAUUUCAUAUUUAAUAUGCUUCAGGUCAGAUGAGCUCUAUGUUCUCUUUAUUGAUUUUCUCUUUUGAUGCUCUACUAUACAUCUUUAUUUUCACAUCUCCUUUUGUUUGAUGUUUUAAUUCUGUAAUAUUAUGUGAGUUCUAUGGAAAAAAAAUAAGGUAUAUUAUUUUUAUUAUGAUUAGCAAUCACUUUUCAGGCAUUUGAGCCACCCCUGGAUAUGAGCCAGGACAUUGAUGACUCUGGGGAAUUGCACUUUGAAUGGCCACCAAAUGAUGGGAAUGUUUGCUCUCAUGAGUCUACCACAGCUAGGGGAAGUUGUUCCAAACUUGAUGAAGCUUGCUGUGGAGAAUCAAGCAAUGUGAUGAGCAAACUAGCAGAGGGUUUGACGGCCAAUGAGGUCUCUGCAAAAUGGCCAUGUGAUGUUUUGUAUAGUGACUGUCUAAACUGCAAAAAAAAUUUCUUCCACUUCUAUGUCUUUUCAUUUAGAAGUAUGACUUCUGUAGAUAACAACAGGAAGUGCAAAUUGAAGGUUGUCAUGGGUCUGAUACUGGGAGCUGUCUGGCAGGCGAGGAAAAUAACAAAAUGACAGCUGAAUGUUGUGGGAAUCAUGUUUCUGAUUCCAAUGGAAAUGUAAUGCUAUUUAGUUUGCCUAUUUUAUCUCAAGGUUCCUUGUUUGUUUAUAAUUAGUUUUUGUUUUUUGCUAGAUUUGCAAUGAAUUUCUCUUCAAGCCAUCAUUUUCUUCUUAUUCUAUGUAUAGUGAAACUUACUUUCUUGCAUAUAACAAUGUACAUUCAGGUCCCGUCAUCACCUCGUGAUUGGUUGGAUCCAUCAUUUCAGUUGCAUGUUCCCCUGGUUGAUGUUGAUAAGGUAUAUUGGUUAUCUUGGCGCAUAAGCAAACUUUGCAAGCUUUGCUACCUUAUUUAUAUGGUAAAAUAUGUGAAUAAACAAUGAUUUUUUUUAUAUCUUAAUUCUAAGUUAUUUUAAUGAGGUCACAUGUAAUUGACAUGGCUGAUGAAAGUCAUUCUUUUUUGCCUUAUAUUGGUUUGAUGAAUCUUCAAAUUUGGGUCAGAAUAAUUCAACUUUGAAAUUAUUGUUUUGGAUAAUUAAGAUGGAUCUUUCAUUAAUGAUGAUGAGCAAAAACACUGAUGAAUUGGUCAUGAAUUAGCAUAUGAUGUAUGGGAAAAAUGAUGGAAAAAAAAUGGAUCUCAAACACACAAGAUACAAUCAGUGUUGUCAUGAGGUGCCGAGGCGCUCCAAUCUAGGAGAGGCGAGGCCCAAGCGCCUUUAUUAGCCUCGGGUGUCGGAUUUCACUAAGGUAAUCAUUUUCGGUUCGGUUCGGUUUUUAUAAAAAAAAAAUAACCAAACCGAAAUUUUUUUUUUAAAAAAAACCGAAAUCGGUUCAAACCGAUCAGUUUCGAUUCGGUUUUUUAGGACAAAAACCGGUCCAAACCGGUUUGACUUGGUUUUUUCGGUUCGGUUCGGUUUGGUUUUUUCGGUUUCAGGCUUAUAAAACCGAAACCGAACCGAACCGGUCGGUUUUUUAAAAAUUUUAAUCGGUUUAAUCAAUUUUUUUCACUGUUUGGUUUUUUUGGUUAUUUUUUUUCCGGUUUUCUCGGUUUAAUCGGUUUUUCAGUUUAUUUGCUCACCUCUAAAUUUCAAUGAAGUGCCACCUAGGCGAGCACCUUGAGAGUGGGUGCAAGGCAUUAAGGCUAGUGCCUGCUUGAAUUUCUUCCUUUUUUGUUGUUUUUUUUUUUAUUAAUUUCUAUUUUGUUCUAUUUGUUUAUUUUUUUAACUGAUAUUUAAUUUUUUUUUUAAUUUGUUCGGCUACUUACUAUAAAGUAUCUAUUUUAUUUUAAGGGUGAAAAAUAUAACUUUAUACGACUAUGUUAUGGUAUUUUAUAUUUUCUUUUGAUUUUCUAAUUAUGUAAUCUUAAUUAAGAUAUAUAUAUAUAUAUAUAUAUAUAUAUUAGAUUUAAAAAUAAAUUUAUAGUAUAUCGCCUUGGUUCAUUUAGGAGCGCCUAGCGCUUCGGGCAUUUUACAGGCUUGGUGUCUUUUAACGCAUUUUGCCUUUGACAACACUGGAUACAAUUGGUGUUCUUUGUGGAAUGUGUGAUUACUAAUGCUGCCAUUGUUUUUCCAUUUUCAUAGGUCCGUUGUAUACUAAGAAACAUAGUAAGAGACUGGGCAGCAGAGGUAAUGAUGCGUCAUUGCUUUCCUGUUUCUAACUCAUCAUCUGUGAUUUCUGAGGCCAAGGUUUAUGUGUUCCCACUGUUCCUACACUGAUGCAGGGACAGAAAGAACGUGAUCAGUGCUACAAGCCUAUUCUUGAAGAGCUCAAUUCUUUAUUCCCUAGUCGUUGCAACAAAAGGUACAUAAUUUCCUUAUGUGUUUACCAUUUUAGGAAUGCAAUUUUGUGCUUAGUGAUUGUGAUAUACAGAAUGAUAUAUAAUCUGUCAUGGAAUAAUGUUUUAUUUACUAUAUAACCAUAAAUUCAUUGCACAGUCCCCCUACAUGUUUAGUUCCUGGUGCUGGUUUUGGGCGUCUGGCCUUGGAGAUUUCAUGUUUGGGUAUGUAUUAAAGAUGUGAAGUUAUUACAAAUUCUAUUUUGGCAACUUUAUAUGGAGCCCAACACUUAUCAUAUGAUAAUGCAGGUUUCGUGAGCCAGGGAAAUGAAUUUUCAUACUACAUGAUGAUAUGCUCAAGUUUUAUUCUUAAUCAGUAAGGACUUCUAAUAAUUUCUUGCUAAUCUUACUGUAUGUAUGCUCUUGGCAGUAAUUAAUCUUUGAAUGAAUGAAUAUCACUCUCUCCCUUUCUUUAGUAAUGGGUAGUUUGAUUGUAUUAGGACCCAGAAUGCAGGGGAAUGGACUAUAUAUCCUUGGAUCCAUAGCAAUUGCAAUUCACUUUCAGACAGUGACCAACUCCGUCCUGUUUCAUUUCCAGAUAUUCAUCCAGCAAGGUAUUCAUGCUGCACUUAGUAUUUUUUUCAAAACUUUGCAUAAAAUUUUUAACAAUAACUAUCUGCAUGUCAUUUUAAAUCCAUAUUGACUUUUGUAAUAAGCAGUGCAGGGAUUACUGAAGGAUUCUCCAUGUGUGGUGGUGACUUUGUUGAAGUCUAUAGUGAUCCAAGUCAAGUAGGUAGGAGAAUUUAAUUCCUUUUAAUUGUUCAUGGUACAAAUAAUUGCUGGAACUUUGGCCACUGAAAUGGGCAGAUAUUUUGAUUAAUUUUAUUCCUUGCUAAUGAAACUUUUAUUUAUGUAAUAGUACUUUGAUUUGCAGAAGACUAGACAUGGUAUCAUAGGCACAAAUUAUUCUUGCAAUGUCCUUGCUUUGAAGGUAAUUCUUAUGGAGAGUAAUUGUAUGAUAUGCAGGAGUUUGGGAUGCAGUUGUAACUUGUUUUUUUAUUGAUACGGCACACAAUAUUGUUGAAUACAUUGAAAUCAUAUCAAGGAUUUUGAAAGAUGGGGGGGUGAGUUCCUUGAAGCUGUUUGAAACACUGUAUAUUUUCUGCUAUUUUUCACCAUGGAAUUAGCUCACUUAGGUGAUGACAGGUUUGGAUAAAUCUGGGACCACUCCUGUAUCAUUUUGCAGACAUGUAUGGACAAGAAGAUGUAAGCUUCAUUUUUCCACAAUGUUCAUAUAUAUACAUAUAUAUGGUGCUGUUUUGAUGCUGGCGUGGUAUUUGCAAACAUAUUUGACUUUGAUUUUUUGCAGAACCGAUACUUUGCUGCAUUCUGGACAAUGAGAAAGAAAUCGGCAGCGGUGGAAAAGCAUUCAACAUGAUAAGCAGCGGUGGAGAAGCAUUUUGCAUGAUGAUUACCCGCCUUUGUAUUAUGUGGUCUGCUAUAUUGUUAAUUUUUUUUUUAAUUAACGUGGGUGUCCAGGCCAGCUUGCACGUACCUUGACUAAUCUUACGGAUUUUGAAGUUAACGACUAUGUAAGCCUCCAGUAGUUCUGAGGAGACUCGAACUCGUGACGUUUGGGGAGCAAACUCAAGACCUGACCAGUUGAGCUAGCCCUCAGGAUUAGUCUGCUAUAUUGUUACUUCAUGUAAAAGUUGCAUACAGAAUCCAGUAAAUUGAAAUGUAUUUCUUGAAAAUAAUAUACAAGGUUGAAGAUUAAUUUGAGCGAUGUGUCAAAUUGUGACAGAUAGAAAGACUUUCCUUUUUCUUUUUGGUGCCAAAUUUUUCCUAGUUCGUAAUCUCAAAUUCUGGAAUAGUGUUUAAGAGAUUAAUUAUCAUUUUCCUGCUUGAUCACAGAAUUAUAGAUUUACAAGUUUACAACUAUAAAAACUAAUGUAGUGUUGGGAACAUGGGACUAGUCACGUAUCUGGACAAGACAACACGUUACUUGCACUGGUGUUUGAUGGAUAGACCAAAAGCAGUUCCUUUAAAAACAUUGAAUUACACUCGAUCCAUAGGCAAUGAAUCGAGUGUUGUCGACAGCAGUUUCAUCAUCGAUGGCUUUCUUCUCCUUCUUCUUUCUUUAACAGGAACUAAACUUUGCGAUCUGUAAAGCAAUAAAUGGAUAUUCAACAACAAGAUUCCAGAUUAAUGAGCCAACUUCUUCUUUUCUUUUGAAUUAAAAAUACUUGGGGUUGUAUAAUUUGCAUCAUGUAAACCCCAUUUAAAAAGGACAAUCAUAGACUGCUUAAGUCAAUAAUUGUUGGUCCAUAAUGCAAAACUUUUCAUAAUAAUAAUAAUAAUGUGUUUAAAAACGCGAGUAUAGCUGCAAUGCAAUUCACGUUCUCAGAUAUGUUUUUAGCUACUGUUUUUUUUAACUACAAAUACAACAAUAGAUUUACUAGCUAUAUAUUCUUUUUAUUUUAUUUAAUCUUUAAUAAUCCUCAAAUUGAGAAAUAGCACAUCAAAAAAAUGUAGUCGGUUUCAAUCUCCUCAUAGCUCAUCUCUGUACGUAAAUCUGUAAUUAAUGUAUAAUAAAUAAAUUAAAAAAAGUUGAUGAUGAAGAUCCAGCCGUUUCCCCCAGGUUUUGUUAAUGGAGGAGCACCAUUGAUGGCGGAUAUGAUGUCGGUUGGUGGUUUAGAAUAAUAAUAAUAAUAAAAAAAGUGGAUUAAUUAAAUUCAAAUCAAACUAAUUUUAUAAGAAUGUGUGAUGUAUUAAGAAAUUAAAUAUUAACGAUAAUGGAUGAAAGAGAAAACAAAUCAAAUAUGAAAUAAAAUAAUAAAAUUAAUAUAUAUAUAUAUAUAUAUAUAUAUAUAUUAAAAAAAACCCACCUCUUGACUGUUCAGGUCCUUCAAAAAAUCAGAGUUCUUCAAAAAAUCAGAGUUUUUUUUUAAGAUGUACAAGGGAAUCAUCUUCCACGUGAUGAUUAGUUAUGUAAUGCCUGUCCUGCAAUAUACGACAGUCAUUAGUUAUGUAAAUAGUUUUAGUUACUUUUUAUAUAUAUAUAUAUAUCCCCGUCACUGGCACUGUGACAUACCCGAGUGACCAAACACUUUUUACUAGCCCUGGCUUGGGUGAAUAAACCUACUAGUUGUCUACUAAACCCAAGUGAUCGUCAGUCACUCGGAUCUGGCUUAGCUACCAAUUACAUGUUUUUCUUUUUCUUUUUUUUUCUUUUUUUUGCGCUAACAAUUUCAAUGCAUAAUACACAUAAUUUUUCUAUCUCGCAAACACAAAUUUUUUUUGCAAUACAAACACCAUUUUUUUUUUUUAUCAUCAAUAGCAACAUUUCUUUUAUGACUAUAAACUCACAUGAACACCAAUAAAAAUAAAUAUAUUUUAUAAUAUAUAUAAAUAUGACACACCAACUUCUCCUUUUAAUUACAUAUUAGACAUAACCUUUGUCAUAAUAUCAUACCAACCGAUGAUAGCUCAUCUUGAUUGAUCAAUGACAAGAUUUUCUUUUUUUUAUAAAAAAAUUACAAGUUUAGAUGUAUAAAUACACCUAGUUACCAAACUAAAAGGGAAAUAUUUUUUCAUGACAUACCAAAUCCACAAUCUUGCAACACCUAGAUAACUUUCCUUAUUGUAUUUUCUCCUUAUUCAUUAUUGUUUCCACAUAUACAAGUACUACCUUAAAUAUUAAAGUGUCUUAUGUCUUAACAAAAAACUGGUUUUAUAGGAACCACUCACCAAUUCACUAAUAAAGAAAAUUAAUUUUUGUAUUUGAAGUUUUUUCACGAUUUUAUCAUAAUUAUUGUCAGGAGAUUAUUCAUACCUAGUUUUGUAAAGAGGUUGACUUGAGAUAACCAAAUGAGGUCUAGAAGGCCUCCAAAUUAGUCCCAACAAGUGUUGUUCAACUGAGUUUUGUUAUUAUUAUUUUUUUAGAUUCUCUAGCUUGUUUAAGAGUUUUCUUGUUUUUUCCUUUCAUUAUUAGGACUCUUAAUUUUCUAAUUUAUUUAGGUUGGUUCUUUGUUUUAAGGAGUUUUAUAUCUUUUAGAAAACCAUGCUACUUAAAAAAAAUCAAUAAUAAAGUUUUAGAUUAAAGAUUUUGUGUGGCGGCAUAUUCAAUAGAAAUUUAUAUUGCUUGUACAAAUUGUUUUUGCAUUGUUUCAUCUAAAUUAGUUAUUAUAUAAAUAAAUACAAAAUAUUUAUGACAAUGAAUGGAUAAUGUGUUUAAUGAUGUACAAUUAAUUCUUAAGUAAAUUGUAGAGAGAGUAAAUGUGUAAUAUUUUACUUUCUAUAUCCUAGAGCUCCAAAAUCAACAUGUGUCUUAUCAUGAGUCUUAUCAUGAGAAUAAGGGCCGGUGGCUCAGAGAGAGAGAGAGAGAGAGAGAGAGAGAGAGAGAGAGAGAUGAGCAGUCGGUGUUAAUUAAUUAUUCUCCACUCCUGCAACGAGACACUGCGUUUUACGAAAUGUUCUAGAGAAAGGUGAGAACAUAUCGAUACGAGGAGUAUAGAAGGAAGAGCAUUAAGCAAGCACCUCGCCAUAAAUAGUGUGCUUAUAAUUAUUUUGUGAAGUGUUUUAUUUUUAUAAAAGUGUUAAAAUAAUAUUUUUUAUGUUUAAAAAAUUUAAUUUUAAUAUUAACAAAUAUAAAAAUAUUAAAAAUUUUAAUUUAAUAUAAAAAAAUAAAUUUUAAUAAAAAAAACAAGUUAUAAUUCAAACCAUAGAUUUCAUAUUAAGUUUUUGACUUCAAACUUUUUUUUUCUUAAUCAUAGGUGUCAAAAUCAGUUUACGAGUACCUCGACUAAACUUCUAGAGCUUUAAAGUUAAUAAACAGGUAAACUUUCAAUAACCUUAAGAUUUGUGUCACUCAAACCGAUAAUAUUUGAAUAGCAAAUCAAAAAUUUAACUAAUUAAACUACAUAUUUCAAAAUGACGUGGUGUUUUGAUACUUGUUUCCACACUUACGUGGAUUGAAUCUCGUUAUUCUUAAACAAUUUAUCAACUCUCAGUAAAAAGAAAUGGAUGAAUGAUACUGCAUAUAAUUGAGCUGUGAUUCAAAAAUUAAAUAGUUGCUUUUUAUUGGUUUUUUUUUUAUAAUCAUCGAGAGUAUAUUGAGAAGGCCAUAAAGCUAAUAGCCAAAAAGAAAUACAAGAGAUAAAAAAAAAAAAAAACAACUGAUCUACUACAGCAAACAACAAGAAGACUACCUAAGAUUUCUUAUUACACCAUAAUUUAAUGCCAUCAGAAGAUCUUAAGAGGUUAUUUCCUGUAUAAUUGAAGUUUGAAUCUUGAGAAUGCAACCAAAUAGCAACCCGAUGAAGGAUGGUGGAGAAACAAUCAAACAAGUUUAUAGUUCCCUCCUCAAAAACAAUUUUGUUCCUCAGCAACCAUAUACCCCAAAUAGUACUACUUGAAAUUAAUCUCCAAGCUGAUCUUUGGAAUUUCCCAUGAACCAUUUCGGGCCACUGCAGAAGCAGCAAGUCAAUUGUUCUCGGUAAACAACAUUGGAUACCCUACCAAUCCAAAACUUUCAUCCAAACACUCCUAGAAAAGUUACAAUGUAUAAAAAGAUGCUCUGAGGUUUCCAAAUUUGAGCUGCAAAAGACACAUGAAGCUUGAGUGGCAGACAAAACAGUCCGUUGAUGGAGAAAAGCUCUUGUACUAACUUUGUCCUGUACUGCCAACCAGAGAAACACCUGAACUUUUGGAGGGGCCCCUUUAAUCCAAACAUUGGCUUCGAAGACUCUAUCAGUCGCAGAGGAAGUAUUGUCAAUUAGGGUGCAACACGAUUUAACUGAGAAGCUUCCAUCAGAAUUGCAUGACCAUAUAAGUUUGUCAUCUUUUCCUUGUCGAAUUAUCGUUGGCUCCAGCAUUGAGAGCAAAUGAUGGUAUUGUUGCUCUUCAUAAGAUAAGAGCUUCCUACGCCAAACCAAAUUCCAUCGCCAUUGAUCAUUCACCCAUUGACCCAUCUCAUUAACCAAACCAUUCCGAAAAGUAGAAAUUUGGUAAAGCUUAGGGAAAAUGCUACGUAAAACAUUUGAUCCUAUCCACAUGUCAGACCAGAAAAGGAUGGAGGAUCCAUCUCCAAUCUUGAAUUUAAUGUUUUCACGCAAUACUAAGCCGAUGACACUGUUUGGAUCCAAGAUUGACAAAACAUCUUUCCAAAAUGAGGAAAUAUGACCAUGCAAUUUUGGGAUUCCAUUCUCGAAAGUUGGGGAGUAAAAAUGGGUUGUUACCUGUUUCCAUAAGGCAUGGUCUGGUAAGUUUAGCCUCUAUAUCCAUUUGAAAAGCAUGGAUAUAUUUUUUGACAUUAAAGAACCCAACCCGAGGCCUCCUUCUUUUCUAGCUUUCACAACAAUACGCCACUAAACCUUGCAGAUUUUCUUUUGCUUUGCCACUCCAGACCACAAGAAUCUUCGUUGAAUAGAUGUUAGUAAAUUACAGACACCUUUCGGCAUAAGAAAAGAAGACAUAAUAUACUGGCAAUGAACUCAAGGCACUUUUGAUUAGGCAGAUACGUCCUGCCAUACUAAGCAUACGACCUCUCCACAUGCUUAACUUUCGUCUGAAAUUCUCAAUAAUAGGCUUCCAUGUAGACAAUCUUUUAGGAUUGGAUCCUAAAGGCAUGCCUAGAUAAGAGCAAGGCAAGAAAUCAAAUCUGCAAAAGACUGAAUAUGCCAUACUAGCACAAGUAUCUUCCCCAACAUUUAUGCCAAUUAAAGAGCUUUUAUGGAAGUUAAUGUGCAAACCUGAACAAAUAGCGAACCACAACAGGAUCCUUUUAACUGUUUUGACCAUAUGAAGAUUAGCAGGCAUGAAGAUUAAAGUGUCGUCUGCAUAUUGUAGGUGACUGAGGCAAAAGCUAUCUCCAAAAGGGAUACCUUUGAAAAGAUCAUUUGAAGCUGCUCUUUGAAACAAAACAGAUAAUCCCUCUGCUGCUAUUAGAAAAAGGAAUGGAGAAAGGGGGUCACCUUGGCGAAUCCCACGGCCCAUCAAGAAUUCCUUAGAAGGAGAUCCAUUAAUCAGCACUGAUAAUUUUGCGGUGGAGAUGCAAGUGUUGAUCCAAUUAAUCCAUUUUUCACCAAAACCCAUAUGCCUCAUAACCUGCUCUAAAUAAUCCCACUGCACACUAUCGAAAGCUUUGUGAAAAUCCACCUUAAAGAUAAGGCUCGGCACUCUGUGUCUUUUCAAGGAAUGAACAGCUUCAUUGGCAACCAAAAACCCAUCAAUUAUUUGCCUCCCUGCCAAGAAAGCUGUUUGAUUCUCACUGAUAAGGUCAUGCAUAACCGCUUUCAGACGGCUAGAAAGAACCUUAGCCAUUAUCUUGUAAAUGCCAUGAAUCAAACUAAGAGGCCUGAAGUCUUUGAAGCCAACUGGGGAAGCGAUCUUCGGAAUUAGAUGAACAUAAGCAUGAUUGACUCCUUUUGGAAGCCUACCUGUUUUGAAGAAAUUCUUAGCCAGGUCUAACAGAUCAUCUGCAAUGAAAUUCCAAGCAAGCCUGUAGAAUUUGAAAUUGAAACCAUCUGGACCCGGACCUUUGCUCCCAUCACAAUCCCAAACACUCUGCUUUAAUUCUUCCAAAGUGAUAUCUCGCUCCAAGCUAGCUGAAGAAGAAGCCGAGAGUGUUUUAAAACCAACAGGCCCUAAACCAAUUCGGAAUCUAUCAGGACUUCUGAAUAAGUUGGAGAAGAAGUUAACUGCCGCAUCUUUUAUGACCGGUAAACCUUCAACAACAGAACCAUUGUGAACCACUUUCAGGAGAUGGUUUUUAGCCCUCCUGAAGUUAGCAACUAGAUGGAAGAAACGCGUAUUGCGAUCGCCCAGGCGACACCAAAUUUGGCGAGACUUUUGACGCCACAUACUUUCUAUAUGCAGGUUACAUUGCCACUGAUUCUUGAUCAAUGAAUCAAGCGAGUUCUGCUCUGCAGUAGAUAAUUGCCCAUACUCUGAUUUCUUUUCUAUAGCUGAAAUAUUGCUUUGGAUCAAUGACAAAGCAGUCUCCUGAUGCCCAAAACCAACCCUAUUCCACUGUCUGAGCCGAGUUGCCAUAAAGCUGAGCUUCUUAAUGAGCUUGAACUGACCUGAAAAUUCAUUGCAAGCUUCAUCCCAUAUACCCUUUACGAUAUCUUUAAAAUUUGGAUGAUGGAGCCAACAAUCCAUGAAUUUGAAAGGAAUCCAACCUUUUUCUGCAUGUGAAACCCCUAGGAUUAAAGGGCAAUGAUCAGAGAACCCUCUUGGAAGCCGUCGAAGAGACAAAAGGGGGAAUUGCAAAUGACAACAAGGACUAGAAAAAAUACGGUCUAGUUUACUCAUGGAUCCCCCACGAAACCAGGUGUACAGACCCUCUGACAUGUUGUACUCGAUUAGGUUGCAAUCAUCAAUAAAAAGUCUAAAUGCCGUUGAACCCACCUUGUUAAUAAAGCCACUGCUUCUGUCACUUCGCAACAUAGUUUCAUUGAAGUCACUUGCUAAAAACCAAGGACACUCAAAAACAGCCUUCAGAAUACGAAGGUCCUUCCAAAGAAGAAGUUUGUCAGCUUGAUUGCAAGGGGCAUAAACACCUACCACCGCCCCUGAGAAGCCUGUCAAGACAUUCUGCCCAAAUAACCCGAUCCAACCAUGACCAUACUCCACUGAUGAUACCGCAAACUUAGAGUUAUCCCACAUAGCCAGAAUGCCCCCUUUAGUACCUUCAGCCUCAUUACCAAACCAAGAAACAUUAUUGACGCUCCAUAAUUGAAAAACCAAUCUGUCUGAGUAACUUUGUAACUUAGUUUCAAACAAAAAACAAACCUCUAUAUCAAAAUCCCUGAUUAACUUUGAAACUGUCCUCUUCUUUCUAGCUAACCCCAAACCACAAGAAUUCCAUGAAAGAAUCUGCAUAAGAAAAGAGAUUUAAAAUCCUUACAGAAGAAAGAGGAAUAUCUGCUCACUGGGAUGCUUCCCAAUCAGCCUUCUCUUUACGCCUUUGCUGAUUUAUAUAGGAUGUGAAGUCAUCUAAAUUGUGAGGUUUUUCAAUCUGCAAAACCUCUCCUAUUUCCAGCAUUAAACAAACCUCAUCACCCUCAGGAGAUUUAUUGUUUUCGUCAUGAGCUAGCAAGUUCCUCCUGUUACACCUCUGUAUUGUUGAGUCCUCAGUAUCCAUCUCACUCAUAUUAACUGUUUCAUUCAAACUUCCAUCAGUUGUAAUCAUCUUUGUACGUCGCAACUUCCUUCUUGUUUUUGCAGAUAGAGCAAUUGCACUCUCUUUUGUGUUUGCAUCAGAGUGUAAAAUAACUGGGUGAUUCAUGUGCUGCGGUUCCAGAAUUACUAUGGCCUGAGGAUUGUAUGUUGAUUGAAGGGCUAAAUCAUUGUUUGAUCCAAAUGAAAUAGAGAGAACGUCAGAUGGGCUUUGAGAUCCACUGCCAUAAACUGGGCUUCCAAUCUGGGCCAAUACAAGGGAGUCAAGGUCCAAGGCAGCUGCAGGGUUUCUAGCAUCUUCUCUCAAAAUAGGAGUGCCCUGUCCCGUAUAUACGGUAAGAGCAUUGAAAAUGGGACUACUUUUUAUAUAGCUGCUGUCAGAAAAAGAAAGAUUGUAUGCCAUAAUUUCUGGAAAUCUCUCUAAAGAUGAGGCAACAUGUUGAUCUUGCACCACAUCCAGAUGAAGAGCAUUAAAUAUGAUAAGAGAGCUAUCGUCAGAAGUUGAUAUCUUGUCUCCAUCCUGUGCCAGAUCUGAAUUUUCCCACCCACUGCUGCCGCCCCCAAUAGUCCUGGUGACUGAUGGAGCCACAUCUGCUCUGUCCUCAUCUGUGUCUACGCCAUCACCCACAUCAACCGAGUCUUCCUCAUCAUCCUCAUCCCCUUGCGAUGUCUGAAAGUCAUCCAUGGUGUAUGAAAUUGAGCCAGCAAUUGGGUAAUGUAACUGGUCCAUCUCCUCUAUCUUAACCUGAUAUGUUUGAUUUUUGAUUUGCAAAACAAUCACCUUAUUCACCUUAUCCAGAUGUGUACCAAUGAGGAUCUGUAACUGUGAUAGUUCAAAAUGCUUGAGAGUAGUUUUAUCAUAACCUAUCAUCUGACCAGAUCUUUCUAAAAUCUUUGUGAGGCAUCUGCAAUUCCACCCUAUAAUGGGUAGAUUUUUUAUUGUUAUCCAGGCCAUCCGAUUCAAAGUUGUGUCAGUCUCAACCCAGGGGCGAACUUCGUCAAAAAAUACAUCCCAACAUUUAUUAUUCUUCCUCCAUGAUUCCAUUAAUAUGUCUCUAUUAUCAAAAAUCACAAGGACCUGAGAUGCCCCAAGAAAGCGCAGUCCAACAAAAUCUAUAUCAUGUUGGAUCAGUCCAAAACGUAUAGAAGAGUAAUUGGAUCCUUUUUUUAUUUUUCCCAGAAGACAUCUGUUUAGCCAAGCAUAAUCCUCUUCUUCAAUAUCAAUGGAGAGUUUUUCAACGUAUAGAAGAGCUUUUUAUUGGUUAUGUCUGAUCUACCUUAAAAUUUAAGAGAGACAAAUAUAAAAAGAAAUAUUUUCAUUUAAAAUUAUAAGUAUAUUUUCAUUUAAAAUUUUCUCUUCUAAUUAUAAUUAAUUUAAAAAAUAAAUCCAAAAAAACAACUAAUAAAAAACUACUUGCUAUUCCCUCGUGCUUGGAAAAUUUCUCGUCGUUAUCACUAGAGUACAACUACAAUGACCUGGCAAAACAUGACAUUAAUAAAAUAAAAAUAAAAAAGUUCAAGGAAGAUACAAAUUUGGAAAUCGAAAAACAAGCAUUUCUGGCUAUAAAUGACAGGAAAAGAAUCAUUGAGACUGAACAGAGAGAAGCAAGCAAGCUAGCUAGUAAGAGAGAUAUGGGAUCCAUUUCGAAGCCUCAUGUUGUUGUGAUCCCAUGUCCACUCCAAGGUCAUAUAAAGACUAUGCUUAAACUUGCGAAGCUUCUUCACUACAAAGGUCUUCACAUCACGUUUGUCAGCACAGAAUUCAAUCACAAACGUUUCCUUAGGUCAAGAGGACCUCAUGCCCUUGAUGACUUGCCUGGCUUCCAUUUUAGAACCAUUCCCGAUGGUCUCCCUCCUUCAGAUAUUGACGCCACCCAAGACAUUCCUUCUCUUUGUCAUGCCAUGAACAAGAAUUUCUUAGCACCCUUUAAAGAUCUUCUUUUACAACUCAAAAAUACCAUAUCGGAGAACAACCCUCCGAUUACCUGCAUUGUUUCUGAUCCUUUUGCUCCAUUCUCCAUCAAAGCUGGGGAAGAAGUUGGUCUUCCAGUUGUGAUGUAUGCCACUAUGAAUGCAUGUGGCUAUAUGGGAUUUAAACAGCUCUAUGCUCUCAGAAAGAAAGGCUUCACCCCCAUCAAAGGUAUAUUCACAUACUUGUUUAAUUACAACUGAACUUCCAAGCAAAGUGGCUUUAUUACACCAUUAUACAACUUCUUUAGUAUUUUGCAGCUUUAUUCUUUUCUAAAUAUUACAAUUUAAUUAAUUUGGUAUGCCCGCGUUCCGACAAAAAUUUCCAAGCUUAAAUCACACAGGCAAGAUCAAUGAUUAUGUGCAAUAAAUUUUCAUUUUGAGCUUGGUCUAAUAAGAUUGUGUUUUGCAGAUUUGAGCAAUCUAAGCAACGGCUAUCUUGAGACAAAAGUAGACUGGGCUCCUGGUAUGAAAGACGUUCGUCUUAAAGAUUUUCCAUUUAUUCAAACAACAGAUCCAGAUGAAGUUGUAUUUAACUUUGUCAUUGGGGUUGCUGAGACUUCUGUUAAAGCUCGUGCAAUUGCUUUUCAUACUUUUGACGCCUUGGAACCAGAAGUUUUAGAUGGCCUUUCCACUAUUUUCCCUCGAGUUUAUUCCAUCGGUCCACUCCAGUUACUCCUAAAUCAAUUCGAAGAAGAUGGCUUGAAGUCUAUUGGUUACAGUCUGUGGAAAGAAGACCAUGAGUGUCUCCAAUGGCUGGAAACAAAGGAACCCAAAUCAGUGGUGUACGUGAAUUUUGGAAGCAUAACAGUGAUGACAGCUGAUCAACUGGUGGAGUUUGCAAUGGGAUUAGUUAAUAGUAAUAUCCCAUUCUUGUGGAUUAUAAGGCCAGAUUUGGUCAUCGGUGAAUCAGCUGUUUUACCAGCUGAAUUUGCAGAGGAAACUGAAAAGCGAGGCUUUAUUACAAGUUGGUGUCCACAAGAGGAAGUGCUUAACCAUCCAGCAGUUGGAGGGUUUCUAACUCAUAGUGGCUGGGGUUCAACCAUUGAGAGCUUGUGUGCUGGUGUUCCAAUGGUGUGUUGGCCCUUCUUCGCUGAUCAAGCAAUGAACUGUAGAUAUAGCUGCAAUGAAUGGGGAGUUGGAAUGGAGAUUGGUAAUAACGUCAAGAGGGAAGAAGUGGAGAUGCUGGUGAAGGAGCUAAUGGAAGGGGGAAAGGGUGAGAAAAUGAGGGGAAAGGCUAUGGAGUGGAAAAGAUUGGCUGAAGAAGCUGUUGGGCCAGAGGGUACAUCAUCCAUUAAUUUGGACAAGUUCAUCCAUGAAAUAAUCUCUUCAAACAAUUAGAUCGUCGUCACACUAGAAUAAAAAAAAUAAUGAAAAGAUCAAAUUUCGUUUGUUUGUGAAAAGAUCAAAUUUCCUUCCCUGUCUGUUGCCUUUUAUUGGAAUUUAAAUAUCAUAAUAAAUAAAUGCUCCAUUUUCGAACAUGGUGUAGGCCCGCUUUUGGCAUUCUAUAUUUCAAAGCAACCAUGGAUUGUUGAUGUGAUUAGAUCAUUGAUCAUGAAGUUUCUCCUAAUAUGGCAACGAUUCACAUCUAUUAAUCAGGUGGGAGCAUAGUUUUGAAACACAGAACUACUAAUCGGGUCGAGAUCUGGAUCAGAUUUUAAAAAAAAUAAAAAAAGUUAAAAAUUUAAUUGACCCGGCGACUUGGUAAGACCCGAUUAAAAAUUUAAUUAUAAUUUAUUAACUAUUUUUUUUUUUAAUCAAAACAAUAUUUUUUUCAUCAUAAUUUUAAAACUUGAUUUGACAAGUCGACCCGAAACUAGAGCAACAACCCACAUGUCAUCAGGUAAUUUUGCUAGGAAGAUUUAAUAUAAUAUAGUAAUAAUUAAUUAAAAAAAUCCCUGCACCUUGGAGGUACUUAUUGAUAGUGAUCACUGAAGUCAUAAUACAAUGACCUAGCGGAACAUGACGUUAAUUAAAAAUAAACAAAAUCAAGGAAGAUCCAAGAUUUGGAAAUAGAAAAACAAGCACUGCUGGCUAUAAAUGACAGGAAAAGUCCCAUUGAGAUUGAACAUAGUGAAGGUAGCUUGCUAGUCAGAGAGAAGGGAUUGUUGAUGGUUAGAUCAUUAAUCAUUUACUUUAUUAUUCCUGGUCAACAAAACCAAUAUUUCAUAUCUAUCAUUCAAGAGGGAGACUCGAAAGAAGCAUGAAAAGUAACGUCUUUCUUCACCUUUCUUUCACAUAUCGUGAGCAACUAGAUUGGUGUCCUGCGGUAAGUUACGAAUCAAGAGUCAAUUUUUUUCUAGGAGAUAGUUGCACUUUUAAAGAAGAAAAAAAAAAUCAAAGAGUGAGAUUAUUGACUUUACUAGAUUUAAUAAACUCAAUUAAUUUAGUAAUAUAAUUAAAAACAUGCAACAACAAUAGAUAAAUUAAAAAAAGAAAUGACUCGAGUUAACUUGGGCUAACACGCCAAACCCGUGACCUAACACUUGAAAUCAAGAUAACCCCAUAAAAAAAAGAAAAAAAAUAAUAAAGUUUAACCUCCAACAAACUCAAUAUUGAAGGAUAAAAUAAAAAAAUAAUUGUAAAAAAAACCUAAGUCAACUCGGGUUAGCCUUCCAAACCUAUCACCCAUGUUCUGAAGUGAGGAUUACCUCAUAGAAGGCAAGCCUGAAAAAAUUAUGAAGUCAAAUUCCUAAUCAACAAAAUGUUGAGAUAUGAAAUUGAAAAAGAAAUUUUCAAUAAAAAAGGAUCCAAAACAAAAUAAAUUGAAAUAAAAAGUGAGGACCAAAUUUGACAUAAAAAUAAAAUAAAAUCAAAUGUUGAGGGAUGAAAUUGAAAAGAAAAUUCUAUUAAGAAAAGUAUUUAAAACAAAACAAAACAAAUAACAAUUAAAAAAAUGAGAAUCAAAUCUGAUAUGGAAAAAACUAGAGGAUGAAAUCAUAAAAAAAUUAAAUUUAAAAACUAUCUCAAAUAAAAUAAAUAACAAUCAAAAGGAAUAUAGAUAAAAUAUGACAGAUAAAUUUUUUUGAAAGAGAGUGAAAUUUUAAAAAAUCCAAUUUGAUAAAUUAUUUCAAAUAAAAUAAAUAGUAAUAAAAAGAACAGUGGUCAAAUAUAAAGAAAGAAUAAAUCAAAGGGUUACUUUGAAAAUUCAAAGAGUCAGGCAUGAAAAUUGAGGAGGAGAGAGAAAAGAAAAGAAAAAGUAAAGUUUGUUGGUUCAAGUUCAUCAUCUUAUUCAUAAAAGUAGUUACAAGAUUCUUAAACUCUGUCACAAAACAUUUUAAAUAGGUAAAGAUUAAAGUUUGAAGGAACAAGAGGCUUACCAGCGGCUGCAAGUUAAUCACUAUAGGCCUUUCCAUGUUUUAAGGAGGUUAUGACACACUACCAGAAAUUCGCUCAAUAGCAACGGAUUUACCGACAGAAUAUUUCUGUCGGUAAUUUGAGGUUGAAAUUACUGACGGAAACUUUUCCGUCGUCGCUGACGUAGAGGUUUUGGCGGGUAAUUUUUACCAACGGAAUCACCGACGAAUUCAAAACGACAGCCCGUACAGUGACGUGAUUGGUUCGCCGUUUAAAAUGCCGAUGGAAUCACCGAGGGAUUCGAAAUGGCAGAUCCGUACGGUGACGUGUUGAUUUUUCUGUCAGAAUCACCGACGGAAAAUCCGUUGCUGAAACCGUGGGAAAAAGUUAAUAUAUGUCCUCUCUGCCGACCCUCUCCUCCCCUAUUUCUCCUUCUUCUUCCUAAUCCCAACUCUCCCCAUCUGCAAACAACCACCCCCCCUCCCCCAAACAAAAAUCUCCCUCAUCUCAGCACAACAAGUCAUAUUUCUUGAAGUUUUGUGGUCAUAGCAUCCGUGUUCUGAUUUACCAACAGAUUUUAUCAAUUUUUGUAAGUAAUUCUAUCUUUUUAAAUUUUAACAUUUAAUUAAAUGUCAAUUUUAUUGUUUUUUUAGUAUAUGUAUUUUGUUAGUAGAUGUACAUGUUUUAUUGUUAUUUCUCAAACAAACUUGUAGUAUAUGAAUGUAUAAUUCUAUACCUGUUAUGGUUUGUUUUAGGUUUUGUAAGAUUGUAUUUGUUGGUAAAUUGUUAAAACUUUAUGGAAUUACCAAAUUACAUGUGCUGUUUUGAAAUAAUUAAUAGCUUGCUUAAUGAGUCCAUUUAAAGUUUUAUCAAUGGUAUUGCGGAGUAGUAAUUUCUGUAAAUUUAUAUAUAUUAAUUUGUAUGGACGUUGAUAAAUGAUAAUGAAUAUUUAAUAUUUAUAAGAAGUUGUGAUUGGUUUGUUGGAUAAUCUUGAGGUAAAGUAAUAUUUUUGCAAGUUUAUUUACCUAACUUAGUUAAUUAAUACAUGAUGUCAUCAUAAUUUUAUAGAGGUUCGAUAUAAGUCAUGGAUGAUCGUUCAUGGAUGUAUCGAGAUUCACCCCAAGGAUUGCGGAGGAUUGAUUAUUGUAACGGGGUUUAGGGUUUUAUUAAUUUCGCAACAUCUAUUCCUAGAAAUUUUACUGGAGGCGGUAUUAGGUAUCCAUGCAGGAAGUGUCAAAAUAAAAAAUAUCUGCAUCCAGAUGUUGUAAUGAUGCAUCUUCUACACAAAGGGUUUAUGAAGAAUUACCAGUGUUGGUAUGCACAUAGAGAAGUAUUUGUUAGUAAGAGGAGAAUGGGAGAAACGGUGGUUGGAUCUACUUCUAGUGCUAGCAACGUGCAUGAAGCGGCAAAUAACAACACUAAUCCUUACAGAAAUAUGGUUAUGGAUUCAAUGAGAAUGAAUCAAGGUAAUGUCAGUCAAUUUCCAAUCGUAGAAGAAGAACCUAAUGCAGAUGCAGCUAGGUUUUUUGAUUUGUUGAAAGAUUCUGAUGAACCAUUAUGGGAUGGUUGUACGAACCACAGUAAAUUAUCGGCCGUAGCACAGGUGUUCACCAUCAAGUCAGAUCACGGGUUGAGUGAGGUUGGGUAUGACAAGAUUAUUGCAUGGAUGAGAAGUAUUUUACCUGAAGGGAACAUGCUGAAAGAGAACUUCUAUGCUACGAAGUCCAUGAUGAAAACCCCUCGGUUUAGGAUACCAGAAAAUUGACAUGUGCCCUAACUUCUGCAUGUUAUACUACCUUGAAAAUGCUGAGAUGACCGAGUGCAUGACAUGCGGGCAUUCCCGUUAAAAACCUAGAACUAGCAGGGGAAAGACUCUAGUGGCAUAUAAAAAACUUAGAUACUUCCCGAUCACACCUAGACUGUAGAGGUUAUUCAUGUCAUCAAGGACUGCUGAGCACAUGACAUGGCACCAAGCACAUAAUGCGGUUGAUGGAGUGAUGGUGCAUCCUUCUGACGGCGAAGCGUGGAAACGCUUUAACAGUGUCCAUCCUCACUUUUGAGCUGAAUCAAGGAAUGUGCGUCUUGGGUUGUGUACAAACGGAUUCAACCCAUUUAGGUCAUUUGCUGCUCCUUAUUCUUGUUGGCUGGUCAUACUCACAGUUUAUAACUUGCCACCGGGAAUGUGUAUGAGGCCAGAGUUCAUGUUUUUAUCUACUGUCAUACCCGGUCCAAGCAGCCCGGGGUGGAAUAUAGAUGUUUGUCUUCGACCGUUGAUUGAUAAGUUGGCUUAAUUGUGGUCCUCCGGAGCUCUGACUUAUGAUAUAUCGAGGAAACAAAAUUUCCUUAUAAGGGCGGCUUUGAUGUGGACUAUCAAUGAUUUUCCAACUUAUGAAAUGCUUUCUGGUUGGAGCACGUAUGGGAAACUCGCAUGUCCAUACUGCAUGGAAAACAACAAGGCAUUCACGCUAGCAAAUGGAGGUAAAGCUUCUUUUUUUUACUGUCACCGUCGCUUCUUGCCACUUAAUCACAGGUACAUAAAGAACAAAAAAGAUUUCUUUGUUCGUAGAGUUGAAAAAGAUGUUGCAUCCCUGCGUCUUUCUGAUGAAGAAUUGCAUGAUGUUGUAUCAGAGUACGGUGACAUUGUGUUUGGCCUUCAAUCAGGUAAGCAAAAGUUUUAUGGUUUUGGUUUGACCUAUAAUUGGGUAAAGCGAAGUAUCUUUUGGGAGCUUCCUUAUUGGAAGAUCAAUCUACUCCGCCAUAACCUUGACGUCAUGCACAUCGAAAAGAACAUGUUUGAGAACAUUUUCAACACCGUCAUGGAUGUGAAGGGGAAGACAAAGGACAACAUCAAGGCUAGAUUGGAUAUAGCUUUAUACUGUAACCGUAAAAAUAUGGAGUUGGUUUAUGAUGAGUCACGGGUCGCAAAACCAAGAGCAAGCUUUGUGUUAGAGAAAAACGCACAACUGCUAGUCUACAAAUGGCUUAAGAGUCUGUGUUUUCUGGAUGGACAUGCAUCGAACAUAUCAAGGUUGGUUAAUAUAAAGGACUGUAGAUUGUAUGGAAUGAAGAGCCAUGACUGCCACGUGUUUAUGCAAACACUAAUCCCAUUAGCUUUUCAUGAUUUAUUGCCAAAAGGAAUAUGGGAUGCACUCAUGGAGAUUAGUCAUUUCUUCAGAGAUAUAUGCUCCAGCAAGUUAAAUGUUGAGCACAUUGAGAGGCUUCAAACGAAUAUCGUCGAAACACUAUGCAAACUUGAGAUGAUAUUCCCUCCAUCAUUUUUUGACUCAAUGGAGCAUCUCCCUAUACAUAUACCGUUCGAGGCAAAAUCUGGAGGACCGAUCCAAUAUAGAUGGAUGUACCCAUUCAAAUGGUUAGAUAUUAUAGUUGCAAUGUAAUUCAUAUAUAAAAGUAUUUUCUAUGUUUUUCUUAAUUGAAAAUACUUGAUUAAUUCAAUGCAAGUACUUGUUUAAUCUCAAGAAAAAGGUUAAGAACAAGGCGCAUGUUGAGGCCUCGAUAUGUGAGGCCUAUAUUGUUGAGAAGAUCUCAACAUUUAUCUCGUACUAUUUCGAACCUCAUCUAAGAACGAGAAUCAAUCGCGUUCCACGGUAUGAUGAUGGCGGUGAAGUGCCUUCCAAUGGGAACUUGUCAAUAUUCUCCAAUACUGGACGACCCACACCUAAAAAUGUCGUAAGAGAAAUGUCAAGAGGCACAGAGAUAUAAGGAAACAAUGAUUCAUCAAAGAGGACAUGGCAAGACACAAAGAUGCGAUUGGUAUGAAGGGAAAAACAAAUAUACCCUUUAUAUUGGCUGGCAUAGCCCAAAAAUAUGCAUGUGGAAGUUUUUGGCUGUAGUUUAUUAGUGUUGUAAGACCGAAGUAAAGGGAAACAAGCACAACCAAAGAUGCGCAAGUGAUGGAUGACAGGGGAAGAACCAUACAGCAAGAAAAAAGGAGAUUUCAGCCGUAGAAGUUGACAAGGCAAUCUAUUAAUCAAAUAGAUGGAAGUAGCACAAGCAUGAAACCAGAAUUUAUGAGGGAGAUGGGCAGUUUGUAACAAAGUGACGGUGGUUUCCACAAUAUGUCUAUGCUUUCUUUCAGCAAGACCAUUUUGUUCAGGGGUAUAGGGACAUGACAUUUGAUGAACAAUGCCCUUGGUAUGAAGAUAGUUUUUGAAGUUGGUGCUAAUAUAUUCACCACCUCCAUCACUUUGAAAGAUCUUAAGUGUAGCAAAAAAUUGAGUAACUAAAAAUGUAUGGAAAUGGACAAAAAUAGAAUAAACCUCUCCUUUAUUGAUCAUUGGAAAAAUCCAAGAGUACCGUGUACAUUCAUCAACAAAACUAACAUAAUAUCUAAAGCCAUCAACAGACAUUACGGGUGCAGGGCCCCAAACAUCACUAUGUAUGAUUUCUAAAGGGUGAAUAGACUUAACUGCUGGAUAUGGAAAAGGAAGCUUAGUAAUUUUUCCCUCUAAACAAGUGGUACAAACAGACUUGGUAGGAUCUGAAGUGAAGGGAAUCUGAGACUAAGUGAGAAGAGUGGACGUGAUGCUAUUAGAGGGAUGACCAAAUCGCUUGUGCCAAAGACUGGUUUGAACCUGUUGACCAAGAUAGCAAGACUGAUUACGAUGGGAAGCUGAUGCAAGUUGAAAAGGUGUGUGGGAACUAGAAGAAACAGAAAAAGGAAUAGGAUAUAAACCAUUACUACACAGGCCCUUGAGAAGGACAUUCCCCGUGAAUUUGUCCUGAAUCCAAAAACCAAAGUCAUCACAAAUAAAUCGACAAUGAUUAUCUUUACACAGCCUAUAAACUGACAGCAGAUGUUGAGAUAGCUUAGGAACAUGCAACACUUGGUGUAAUUGUAAGGAGCAUUGUGGAAUAGUCAAAACAGAAAAGCCAAUACUAGAAAUGCUCAAACCUGAACCGCCUGUAGUGGUAAUAGCAUCAGGACCAGAGUAAGAAGUAGCCUCCUGAAGGUGAGACAAAUCAGAUGUCAUAUGAGCUGUGGCGCCAGUAUCAGCCACCCAAAUUGGUUCAGGAGGUGGAGGAAAGGUAGCAGCCAUAGCACUAAGAUUGAUGGAAGGAGGACGACCUUGAUAGGAGAAGUUGCCUCUAUGAUAACAUUGGAUGGCAGAAUGCCCAUAUUUCCAGCAAAUUUGACAUUGAACAGAAGAGGUAGGGGCUGAGGAUUGGUUGUGACGUUGAUAACAAUCGGCAGCAACAUGACCUCUCUUACCACAGAUUUGGCAAGUAGGCAUAUCAGUUCCAGGACCAAGAAUACCAGGAUUAGAGCUUGGUUGAGCAGGAUAAUGUCGAUGGCUAGAUUGGAAAGUAUGGCGACCUCUACCACGGCCCCUAAACUGAGAGCCACGGUGGUGAAAAUAACCACCAGUGUUAUGACCAUUGAAACCACUUUGAUAGCCGUUAGAACCUCCAUGGAAGCCAGAGGAAAAUUGAGAAGAUGGAGCUGACUUGAAGUUGGAAGAAAGAGGAUUAGAAUUACCUUCAUCAAGAACCAGAGCCUUGCCUUGAGACACUUGAUUCUGAACGUGCAUAGCAGAGACAAAUAGAGAAGAGGAAUGGGUCUGCUCAAUAGUAGCUUCUUCAGCAAGCAAUUGAGAGCGAAAAUCUUUAAGAGAUAACACAUUAUCUCUGCCUCGAACCAUACAUCGGAACGUGUUAUAGUCAGAAGAAAGGCCAUUGAGAGCCAAGAUCACAAUAUCUUCAUCUUCAAAAUAAACUCCAGCGGCAGAGAGAUGAUCACGGGCAUCUUUGAUUCUCUGCAGUUACUGAGACACGGGUUCUGAACCUUUCUUGAUAGUUUGAAGUUCACUCUUCAUUUGAAAUAUUCUUGCCUUGGUUACUGUAGAAAAACGAUCCUUCAAUUGAACCCACAUAUCAUGAGAACUGAUGCAGCCAAUGACAUAGGAAAUGGCAGUAGAAGAAAGAGUGGCAAUAAGUAGCUGCAUCAGUGCUCUGUCAUGCAUUUUCCAAAUCUGAUGAUCAUCAGAUUCAACACCCUCAAUAUCGGAAUCUGUAUAAAAUUGACUUGGACAUUUUCUGGAACCAUCAACAAAUCCUAGAAUUCCAUGACUUUCAAGAUGAAUUUUCAUUUGAAAUUGCCAAACGAGGUAGUUUGUAUCGUCAAGCUUCACUGUUAUAGCAGUAGAGAUUGCAGGAAGCAGAGAAGUGAUAGGAGAUUGAAUAAUCUGAAGUUGAGAGCUAGUCACCAUUUUAGAAUGUAGGAGAAAGCAGAAAAUUGAAGAUUAUAAUGUUCGGUGAAGUAAUAGAAAACUGGAGUUUUGAAGAAGAGAAUCAGUGAGGCAAUAUAUCAAAUAGCUGAUAGGCACAUCAAUAAGUGCACAAGAAUUUUAUGAAGAGGAUGAGAAUAAAGCCAAAAUUCAGAAGUUAAUGGCCACAAGAUCAAGAGUUCCAGUGCUCUGAUACCAUGAUAGACAGUAAUGUUUAUAUAGAAAUGAAAUAGAAAUGAAGAAAAAAAGCAGAGAGUGAAAAGAACGAAGAACAGAGAAUGAAUGAAUCUGUUAUGCACAGAGAAGCAGAAGACGAAUUCUAGCACUGUUUUAUUAUUUGCUUUUGCUUAAAUGUUUUCAUUACUCAUACUCAGUUUAUAUAUGUAGUAUUGGAAGAUACUAUACGAAGAAUAUUCUUCCUUUUACACACAAUAUAAAUGCUAACAGAUUCUCCUUUUGUAACAAAACUACUAACAGCAUUGUAACAAUAUUAAUUGCUAAUCUUCUGACACUUGGCAUCAUUAGGAUCGUUGAUAUCUUUACAGUAAGACCUUUUUCUUUGAGUGCUUGAAAUUGUUUAAACCCCAUGAAGCUGCAAGCAGAGAUAGUAAUGAACAAUUCAAUAGGGAUCCCGAGCAUCUCAGCAGCAGUGAUAGCGACAGGCAUGAAACCAUCAGAGACGAUGCAAGUCACAGGGGGAACAUCAGGUGAUGCUGUGUCAUUCAGCUUGUCUAGCAGGUCAUGAAAUGGAGCCAACAAGUUCUUACUGGCAGCUUCACAAAGUCCAGGCAAAUCUUGGGUGGCAUUCUCAUCCGAGGGAGGGAGGCCAUCAGGAAUGGACUCGAACCGAAAGUCCGGCAAACCUUUCAGGGAAUCAGGACCUCUAGAUUUAAGUAAACGCUUAUGGUUAAACUCUGUGUUAACAAAGGUGAUGUGAAAACCUUUGUGAUGUAGUAGUUUUGCUAGUUUAAGCAUUGACUUUAUAUGGCUUUGAUAAGGGCUAGGGAGACAGACUGCAUGAGGCUUAUGAUCAGCUAAAAUUUUACAAGUCAUGCCUCAAGCUCGCUCUUUCUUUCUCUUUUUCCUCUGCUACUUGAGUUUCUGCUAUUCUAUGUUAAAGUGAACACACCCAUCACCAACUUAUAUUUAUCAAUUUUGAAGGAUAAAACACUGCUAAAUUAGAAGUUGUUGUCAAGGGAUUGUUUUAUUUAUUUUCGACAUCGCAUGGAUUAAUUAAUUUUUCUCAUAAAAUUUCGUGACUGAGUUAUAAUUAACUCUCAAUCUGUGGAACUUUUAAUAGUGACCAGUAUUGCGACAGAUGUUCUCUUGAUUUUGGAGUCAUUGUCUGAUCUUUAAUUUUGUCAAAUGCAAAGAAAUCUGAAACACACUUGUUUUGUUUAUUCCUAUCCUCACACUAUUUUUCUCCUCAUGAGCCAAAAUAUGAUUAGAAAAGCACCCAAGUGGACAAUAAGCCAAAUUGGCGGAAGAAUCAAAAGCAAACAGAUGAAGACAACUUAUAGAAACAUAAACCAGAGACAAAAUAAUUUAUUAAACCGUUGGCUUUAAUGGACUCUCUUGUCCUUUGGAAAAGAUUCCACAUUCAACAGGAUAUCGACACUACUCACCUUGAAAACAACACUUUGUUUAUAUUAAACUUUUUUUUUAUUCCAUCAUGAAAGAACUUCCGUCACCAACGUGUCUACAUUCAUGGAUGAUAUUUAAUAAGUGUGUGUGUUCGCGGAAUUAUGUUUUUUAAAAUAUUUUAGUUAAAAUUAAUUUUUUUAUGUUUUUAGAUAAUUUUAAUGUAUUAAUGUCAAAAUUAAUUUUUAAAAAAUAAAAAAUAUUAAUUUGAUGCAUUUCUGAGCGAAAAAUAUUUUAAACUACAAUCGCUACCACACUCCUAACCACAAGAUAAUGUUUGGGUAUGAUAAUAAUUGUUUUUUAAAGUGUUUUUUGUUUGGAAAUAUUUUAAAAUAAUAUUUUUUUUAUUUUUUAAAAAAUAUUUUUAACAUCAAUAUAUAAAAAAUUAAUUUUAAAUAAAAAAAAAUCAAAUUUUAAUGAAAAAAAUCAAAUUUUAAUGAAAAAAAUCAAAUUUUAAUCAAAAACUAUUUGUAACUGAAUUCUAAACAGAGAUUUAACAGCAGAAUACAUGAGAUAUUAUUGGAAAUAUAUGCAUCCACCACAAUAACUUUAGAAAACAAUACGGGAAUAUAGUGUUUCUCUGUCUUGUUUUGAGCUUCAAUUAUUUUUUUGUUAUACGUCAUAAGUUUGGUUUCGUGACAAGAGCACUUCUUUCACCAACAUGUCUAAAUUCAUGGUUGAUGAACCUCUGGGGCCACUGGCCUCCUCUGCUAGUUUUUUCCAUUCUGUGGAUUUCUCCUUCAUUUUCUUACCUCUCUCCCCCUCCAUCAACUCUCUCACAAGCUUCUCCACAUUAUCUCUUUUCACAUUGCUAUCAAUCUCCAUUCCAAUUCCCCACUCAGUGCAUGUAUACCUACAAUUUGUUUGUUGAUCACCAGCGAAUGGCCAACAAAGCAUAGGCACACCAGAAGAAAUGCUCUCGAUUAUGGAAGUCCAUCCACAAUGUGUUAGAAAACCUCCAACUGAUGGGUGGUUGAGGACUUCCUCUUGUGGACACCAACUACAAAUAAAGCCCCUUUCUUUAGUUUCUUCAGUGAAUUCUGGUGGCGAUAUCGCGGAGUCGCCGGUGAUCAUGUCUGGUCGUAUUAUCCAUAAAAAUGGGUGACCACUUUUAGAAAGUCCCAUUCCCAAUUCAACGAGCUGCUCUUUUGUAGCCACUGCUAUGCUACCAAAAUUCACAUAAAUUACCGAGUUGGGUUUCUUGGAAUCAAGCCAUUGGAGACACUCAACUUCUUCUUUCCAUAGGUUACAAUCAAUAGAAUUUAGAUCAUCUUCUUGGAUUUGAUUGAGAAGUAAUUGAAGUGGACCGAUUGUGUAGACACGAGGGAAGAUAGGAUAAAGGGCAGUCAGGACUUCUUGCUCUAAAGCAUCGAAAGUAUGGAAAAUGACCGCAGAAGCUGAAGGAGCUCUCUCAGCGCAUCCUAGGCAGAAGUUGAACAUAAAAUCAGUUGCAUCUGUUGUACGAACAAAACUUGGAAGAUCUCUUAUCCGUAUAUCUUUCAUUCCUGGAAUCCAGUCUACUACCUUUUCCAGGAAGCCAUUUGUUAAAAAGCUCUCAUCUGAAACAAAAUUGAGCAAAUCAGUAUCUUUUAAUCGAUAGAGCUAUAUAAAUAGCUAGCAGUGAUUAAGCAGACAGGUAACGAAUUUCUUUAUAUGUAUAAGCAGAGACUCACUGAUACAAACUCCUAAAAGAACUAAAAGCGGUCUGAGCACAUUGUAGAGAACAUAUGACCUCUUCGAUGAGAGAAGAAAAUGUUGGAGAAUAAUAUAAAUUAUAUCUUGAAAUUUCAUCUAAUAAUUUAAGCUAUUGGGUUGAAUUGGUUCUUUGAUAUGAUAUUAGAGUUUUGAUAACCAAGUUGUCACGAGUUCGAAUCUCACCACCUCAUCUAUCUGAUAAAAAUUAAAAACAAAAUAGUAUGGGCCUUUGUAAAUUUUAAACCUAAAAACUUUCACUUGAAUAUGUAUAUUAGAGAAUAAUAUAAAUUAUAUUAAUUUUAAAACUUCACCUAAUAAUUUAAGCUAUUGAUUUGAAAUAGUUUUUUUUAUAAGAAAUAACUGAAUUAUAUAUAAUUCAUAUAAAAUCCAUGCAUAAUUUAUAUAAUACCCGGUGGACUUUCCAGUGAAUUAGAUGAAAAUCGAAGAAUGGAUUUUGUUUCUGGUAACAUAAAUAAUUUUUGCUUUUAUAAAUAGUUUUUUUACCGAUAUUUUAGACUAAAAGAGAUAUCAAUUUUUUACUUUUAUAUUGAAAUUGGAUUUGAAAAAUUUAUCUUACCAUAAUAAUUAGUUUUAUGGUUUCCUACUUUUAGAUCCCAGAAAUUAGUUUUUUUUUUUUUUUUUUUACCACUAUCUAUCCUUUAAACGGCAAGAACAACAAAUGAGCUUUUAAUUUUUCUCUUAUUCAUACCUUUCAGUGGUGUAAGACCUCUUUCUUUGAGCGCCUUGUAUUGUUUAAAGCCCAUGAAGCUGCAAGCGGAGAUGGUAAAUAACAGCGCAAUCGGAAUUUGGUGCAUCUCGGCAGAAGUGAUAGCUACUGGCAUGAAACCAUCAGAAAGGAUGCAGGUCACUGGGGGCGAAUCAGAAGCUGCUGUGUCAUUGAGCUUGUCAAGAACUUCAUUAAACGGAUCCAGCAAAUUCUUCGAGGCAGCCGCAACAGCUACAGAGAUAUCUGGGAUGACAUUCUCAUCUGAAGGAGGAAGGCCAUCAGGAAUGGACUCGAACCGAAAGUCGGGCAACCCAUUCAGGGAAUCAGGACCUCUAGAUUUAAGUAAACGCUUAUGGUUAAACUCUGUGUUGACAAAGGUGAUGUGAAAACCUUUGUGAUGUAGUAGUUUUGCUAGUUUAAGCAUUGACUUUAUAUGGCUUUGAAAUGGGCUAGGGAGACAGACUGCAUGAGGCUUAUGAUCAGCUAAAACACUAUAAACCAUCUCUCUAACUCACUCUUCGUUUCCCUGUUUGCUCCAAGUUCUCUGCAAUUUAGAGAUUCUACUCUUACAUAUAGCAAUAGUUAAGUUAUGCUAUUGCUGCUACAGUGUUUUUUUAUAAUAUUUUUUAUAUCAAUAUAUAGGACUUCUAAUUCAAGUCGCAUACGGCAGCAUUUAUUUUAUAUUUAAUCUUAAAGAUAUUAUGGAAAUCUGAAACCACAUGCUUCUUUCUCUACUUGCUCUUCGAUCUGUGCAAUUUAGAGAUUUUUUUUUUUUUUUUUGAUAAUCAUCGAGAGUAUAUUAAGAAAGCCAUAAAGCCAAUAGUCAAAGAGAAAUAUAAGGGAUAUGAGAAAAUAAAAAACUUAUUUACUACAACAAACAACAAAAAGACUGCCUAAGAUUUCUUAUUACACCACAAUUUGAUGCCAUCAGAAGAUCUUAAGAGGUCAUUUCCUGUAUAAGUGAAGUUUGAAUCUUGAGUAUGCAACCAAAUAGCAACCCGAUGAAGGAUGGUGGAGAAACAAUCAAACAAGUUUAAAGUUCCCUCCUCAAAAACAAUUUUGUUCCUCAGCAACCAAAUACCCCAAAUAGUACUACUUGAAAUUAGUCUCCAAGUUGAUCUUUGGAAUUUGCCAUGUACUAUUUCGGGCCACUGCAGAAGCAGCGAGUCAAGUGUUCUCGGUAAAUAAUAUUGGAUACCCCACCAAUCCAAAACUUUCAUCCAAACACUCCUAGAAAAGUUACAAUGUAUAAAAAGAUGCUCUGAGGUUUCCAAAUCUGAGCUGCAAAAGACACAUGAAGCUUGUGUGGCAGACAAAACAGUCCGUUGAUGAAGAAAAGCUCUUGUACUAACUUUGUCCUGUACUGCUAACCAGAGAAAUACCUGAACUUUCGGAGGGGCCCCUUUAAUCCAAACAUUUGCUUCGAAAACUCUAUCAUUCGCAGAGGAGGUAUUAUCAAUUAGAGUGCAACAGGAUUUAACUGAGAAGUUUCCAUCAGAAUUGCAUGGCCAAGUUUGUCAUCUUUUCCUUACUGAAUUUUCAUUGGCUCUAGCAUUGAGAGCAAAUAAUGAUAUUGUUGCUCUUCAUUGGCUCCAGCAUUGAGAGCAAUUUAGAGAUUCUACUCUUACAUACAGCAAUAAUUACGUUAUGCUAUUGCUGCAACUAUUUGUUUGUCUGCGAGACUGAAUCCAAAAUUGGCCCACAUGGCAUACAUUUAGUCCUUGUGUUUAUCAAGAUUUAUUUAAUUAAUUAGUCGUCAUAGUUUAGUAAUUAAAUGAUAAAUUUCUUUUCAGGGUUAACUACUAUAAUUAUUAAAUCUAGUUUGGUUUGGCAUGGUCGGUAGAUCUACCUGGUAAUCUAUUGACAUGAAGUCUAGCUUAUUCGAAGUUUCAUUUUGAACCAUUAAUCCAAUUAACUUAGUCAAAUUAAGUUAAGUUCAGUCAAAUUAACUGUAUUUUUUAAAAAAAUUUAUAUAAAAUAACAUUAUUUCAUUUAAAAACUAAAUGAUAUUAUUUUAAAGUUGAUUCAGAGUUUUAAUCUAAUAAACUCAUGACUUGAUAUUGGAUCAAGACAAGCCUUGAGAAAAGUCUCAUAACUAUGUUCAUUAUAACUUGAUCCCUAUAUGUAUUAAGAUUUAAUUAAUUACAUCCUCGUGGUUUAAUAAAUUAAAUAUUUAGUCAUGUUUGUAAAUCUAUUUAUAAUUUAAUUAUUUUUGUAAAUUUCAUUUUUUUUUUCUAAUUUAUUUUAAAAAAAUAGAAAAAUAAACAAUAUGAAAAGAUAGAUGAGAAAAGAAAACACUUUUUUUUGGACAAAAUACUACUAAAUUAAACAUGACUGUCAAAAUAGUAUUUUAUUAAUUUUCAAUAUCACUGAAAUUAAUUAAUUUUUUGAUAAAAUAGUAGCCACUUUGUUCUCUUAAUUUUUAAGUCACUGUCUGAUAUUAUUUAGUUUUUCAAAUGAACAGAAAUCUGAAACCACACGUUUUAUUUAUUCAUUUCCUUAACUUGUUUUAUUUAUUCAUUUCUCUUGAUAAGCUAAAAUAUGAUUAGAAAAACACCCAAGCGUGCAUGAAGCCAACUUGGCGGAAGAGUCAAAAGCAAACCGCAAACAAAAAUCAUAAAAUGAUUAGAUAAUCAAACAAGCUAGAAUAUUUGUUUAGUUUGUAAUAAUUUCGACAAUGAAUCUUCAUAUUCAAGAUAUUUUAGAAUAAAAAUGAUUUAUUUGAUAAUUAAUUGAUAUCUAAGUUCAAGCAAUUUGAUCUAUUUUUUUUAGUUAAGGUGUCUAAUGAUUUGAUAUGGAAAAGUCAAGGGGUUGGUAACUAGUAGUAGGUGAUACUUGGUAAGUCAAGGUAACCAAUAGCUAUAUUAGUAGGAGCAGGUGAUGCCAAGUGAACAGUAGUUGUGUUUUGUAGUAGCAGGUGAUGUCUGGUAAUCUAGGUGACCGGUAGCUAUGGUAGUAGCAAGUGACUGGUAGCUGAUACCUACAAAAAAAAAUUUUAUGGACGUGAGGACUCUUCGAUGAUAAAAUCAAUAACUUUAUAAAGAGAGAAAGUGAAAUGAUAUUUUAUAGAGAUAAAUUCUAAAAAUAUAUGUGCUAAAAAUGUUAAUAAUGAAGAGAUUAUGAAUCUUGAGCUUGAAAGAUUCAUUAUGUAUUUAUAACUCAUGAAUCUUAUCUUUCUGUUAAGAGAAGGGGUUGAAUUGUGAUCUCAUUGUUGAUGCUGGGGAGUACGCCCAGCUAGGCACCCAUGCACUCGACGUAUGAUCAGUGCACUGCAUAAGCGUACAUCUUUCUUUUCCUAUCUAGUAACCACCAACUCUUCGGUUAUUUCAUAUAUACCUCUACGUUAAUAUUACCAUUUUAAAAAAUUAUUUCUAUAACCAUUUGAUGUAUUUCAAACUUUUUAAUAGUUAUGAUAGCUGUAAACAUUUUUGUGGAAGUUAUUCUUAACAAAAUUGAAUAUGUGUCAAAAUAAUCUACAUCUUGUUAUCUAAAAUAUUUAACAACAAGUCUAACUUUAUAUUUGUCAAUAUUUGCAACUUUUAUCUUUGUUUUAAAGAUCCAAAUAUGUUCUAAUAAUUUAUUUCUAGAAGAAAAAUCCACUAGUUUUUCAUGUAUUAUUAUUCAUAAUAGAUUCAAUUUUAUUAUUAACUAUCUCCUUCCAAAAACAUCGGAGUAUGUUCGAUGUUCAUUUUCUAAUAAGUAUAUUCAAAAAUCUAGAUAAUAUUUUACCUUUUUAGUUCUUCUAGGCUUAACUCCAUGAUUUUUCAAUCGAUGAUGAUUACUUAGCAAUGUAAAAGAAUCAACACUAAACAUUAGCCUGCCAUAUUAUUUAGCAAUUUAAAAAGCUUAGGAUAUGAUGUGUGUUUAUAUCAGAUAUUAUUAAGCAAUAUAUCAACCCUAAUCACCUUGAAAACAAUACAUUUGUCUUUUGCUUAAAUUAUCUUUUAAUAAAGAAGCAAAUUUUUUUCUUAUGACAACAGCACUUCCGUCACUAACUUGUCUAAGUUCAUGGAUGAUGAACCACCGGGCCCAGUGGCCUCCUCAGCUAAUUUUUUCCACUCCAUGGCUUUCUUCUUCAUUUCUUUAGCUUUCUCUCCCUCCAUAAACUCUCUCACAAUCUUCUCCACUUUAUCUCUUGUCACAUUGCUAUCAAUCUCCAUUCCAAUUCCCCACUCAGUGCAUGUGUACCUACAGUUUGUUUGUUGAUCACCAGCGAAUGGCCAACAAAGCAUAGGCACACCAGAAGAAAUGCUCUCAAUUAUGGAAGUCCAUCCACAAUGGGUUAGAAAACCUCCAACUGAUGGGUGGUUGAGGACUUCCUCUUGUGGACACCAACUACAAAUAAAGCCCCUGUCUUUAGUUUCUUCAGUGAAUUCUGGCGGCAAUAUCGCACAGUCGCCAGCGAUCAUGUCAGGUCUUAUGAUCCAUAAAAAUGGGUGACCGCUUUUUGCAAGUCCCAUUCCAAAUUCAAUGAGCUGCUGCUUUGUAGCGACUGCUACGCUGCCAAAAUUAACAUAAACGACAGAGUUGGAUUUCUGGGAAUCCAGCCAUUGGACACAUUGAACUUCUUCUUUCCAUAGAUUACUUCCAAUAGAAUUCAGAUCAUCUUCUUGCAUUUGAUUGAGAAGCAAUUGAAGUGGACCAAUCGCAUAGACACGAGGAAACAUGGAGUAAAGGGCAUUCAGAACCUCUUGCUCCAAAGCAUCAAAAGUAUGGAAAAUAACGGCAGAACCUUCAGAAGCCCUCUCAGCACAUUCCACGCAGAAGUUAAACAUAUAAUCAUUUGGAUCUGUUGUUCGAACAAAACUGGGAAGGUCCCUUAACUUUAUAUCUCUCAUUCCUGGGAUCCAAUCUACCACUUUGUCCAAGUAGCCAUUUGUUAAAAAGCUCUCAUCUGCAAACAAAAAUUGAACGUACAUAUAGCUUUUAGUAACUGAAUAAAAGUGGCUGCAGAAACAGAGAAAAUAUAUAUAUAAAAAAAGAAGGUUUCCUAGCUUGUACCCCUAGUGAAAAGAAUGAAUAAUUAAGGGCAACAGUUUACUUACAGGAGAAAAUAUUUUGAAUUAAUGAACUAAUAAAAAAACCUUAAUGAAAUUAUAAUUACGUUUUUUUCCUUGUUCAUACCUUCUAGUGGUGUCAGACCUUUUUCUUUGAGUGCUCGAAAUUGUUUAGUCCCCAUGAAGCUGCAAGCAGAGAUAGUAUAGAACAAUGCAAUAGGAAUUUCGUGCAUCGCAGCAGCAUCGAUCGCGACUGGCAUGGCACCAUCAGAGACGAUAUAAGUCACUGGGGGGACAUCAGAAGAUGCUGUGUCAUUCACCUUGUCAAGCAGGUCAUUAAAUGGACCCAAUAAGUUCUUCCUGGAAGCCUCACAAAUUGCAUAGAAAUCGUGGGCGGCAUUCUCAUCCGGAGCAGGGAAGCCAUCUGGAAUGGAUUCAAACCGAAAAUCGGGCAAACCAGUCAGGGAAUCAGGACCUCUAGAUCUAAGUAAACGUUUGUGGUUAAACUCUGUAUUGACAAAGGUUAUGUGAAAACCUUUGUGAUGUAGUAGUUUCGCUAGUUUAAGCAUUGAGUUUAUGUGGCUCUGAGCUGGGUGGGGAAUGCAAACUGCAUGAGGCUUAUCAACUAAAAUAUUAGAAGCCAUCUCUCUAAUCUCCCUCUCUCUCUCUCUCUCCUCUGUUGUCCUCGCAGUAGAGAUUCUGGCCUUUGUAUAGGCUUUAUCAACUUAGGAUCACACUGUUGGUGGGAUUGAAAUUAAAGAAGACAAUGCUGUAAAUAAUGAAGAUUAUCAACUUUAUUAAUUUUUUUUUUAUAAAUAUAAAGUAUAUAUAAGGUUUUUUAUUCUAUAUUAGAAAAAUAAGAUCUCCAUAUAAUAUUUAUAUAGUAAAAUUUGAUAUAAAAUAGUAAUUAAUAAAGAAAAUGAUAAUUGGCUGGCAUGUAUAAGAUUGAGCUAGAAAAAAAUAUCUGAUUACCCGUGCAUAGCUAUAUAUACUUUUGUUUUCAGUAAUAAUUUAUUUUUGAUUUUUUUUUUUUGUGUUUAUUAUUUUGAUCUUUAUCUAACUGUUUUUAUAAUUCUUAUUUUUUUAAAAAAAACUUGUUGAAUUCUAAAACAGUCUUGUUUUUGAAAAAAAUAUCUUCAAGGAUAGAUACUGCAGGCCUUUUUUGUUCUUCGUUAAUUUAUUACAACAGAGACUGGUGGUGCUUCUGGAAGAUUAAAUCGAUCAAAAAACGAACUUCAAUUUAGAUUUUGAGAUCAAAUACAAAACAAAGACAACUCUCUUCAAGCUCUCUCUCUCUCUCCCCUUCACUUUUCUCUCACCCAACCUCUUUAUUAACAGUGGAAAUAGAGAAACCAUCCCCAUUCUCAAUUUAGAAUAUGAUUAGAAACACACCCAGGUGGACAUGAAGUCAGCUAGACGGAAGAAUCAAAAGCAAGCCGCAGGUCGAGAAUUCUUCAGAAGAAACAAAAACCAGAGCACAGUAAUUUAUUAAAGCAGUGGACACAAAUCCCUUGAGCGGACUCUCUUGUCCUUCGGUAAAAUUACUACAGCAAGUACUGCAUCAUUUAGGAAAAAGACUCAGCAGUCAACACUAGCCAGCCAUAAUAUUUAGCAAUAAUUUAUAUCAGAAAAGCUUAGGAUAUCGUAUAUGUUUAUAUGAAAUAUUAUUAAACAACGAAUCAACACUACUCGCCUUGAAAACAACACAUUUGUCUUGGGCUUUAAUUAUCUUUUAAUAAAGAAACUUUUUUUUUUCUUCAUGAUGAAAGCACUUCCGUCACUAACGUGUCUAAAUUCACCACUGGGGUCAGUGGCCAAUUUUUCCAUUCUGUGACUUUUACAGAAUUAAAGCAUAGUGUGAAAGCCAAAAAAAAUAGUAAUAAUAAAUAAAAUAACAUAAUUAAUUAGGCUUUUUUUAUAUAUCCUUUUACUAUUUAAGAGUAUUUUAAGUGAAGUGAGUAUAUAAUAAAGAAAAUAAAAAAUUAUAGUAAUUUACACUCUAUUUUAUCAUACUAUAAAAACUUUUAAUACACUACGGAAAAAGAAAUAAAAAGCUAAUAACCACCUUGUUUUAUGAAUUCAUUCAAGUGGCUCACAGCAUACAUUUAGUCCUCAUAUUUAUUGUUUUGAUAUAUUAGUGUUAAAAAUAAAUUUUAAAAAAUAAAAUAAAUAUUAUUUUAAUAUAUUUUUAAAUAAAAAAAUAUUUUAAAAAAUAAAUUAUUCCAUCUAGACUUUACAAUAUACCCGACUCAGCGGAAGAGUCAAAAGCAAAAAGCACACAAUUCUUAAGAUGAAGACAACGUGUAGAAACAAAAACCAUAAAAUAAUUAGAUAAUCAGAGAGCGAGUACAAUCAUAGCUUUUCUGUCUCUCUCUUUGAAAAUUGAGGCACAGAGAGAGAAAGGAGAGAGAACUCGCAGGAGAGAGGGCUUGAGCUGGAAGGGGAAAAAACUGAUGCAUAGAGGGAGUGUUUCCUGCCGAGAGGGAGCAGUGCUUGAUUUAUUUUUAUAAAUUAAAAAUUUAAUAACGUUACAAUCAGAAAAUUUGUUUUGUAAAUUUAAUAAUUUAUAAAAUUAAUUUAAUAUAAUAUGUAAGACUAUUUAAAUAGAAAAUCCUCAAAUCUAAUUAAGAAAAAAAAAUCUAAAACUAAGAAAAUAAAUGUAAAUUAUUUGGCAAUGCAAACACCAUAAUCACCUUGAAAAUAAUACAUUUGUCUUGAGAUUUAAUUAUUUUUUUCUGAUAAACAGACCAUAAUAUUAUUUUUAUGACAAAAGCACUUCCGUCACCAGCCUGUCUAAAUUCAUGGAUGAUGAACCACCGGGCCCAGUGGCCUCCUCGGCUAAUUUUUUCCACUCCAUGGCUUUCUUCUUCAUUUUCUUCCCUUCUUCUCCUUCCAUCAACUCUCUCACUUGUUUUUCCACAUUUUCUCUCGUCACAUUGCUAUCAAUCUCCAUUCCAAUUGCCCACUCAUUGCAUGCAUACCGACAGUUUGUUUGCUGAUCACCGAAGGAUGGCCAACAAAGCAUAGGCACGCCAGAAGAAAUGCUCUCAAUUGUGGAACCCCAACCACAAUGUGUUAGGAAACCUCCAACUGAUGGGUGGUCGAGGACUUCCUCUUGUGGACACCAGCUUGAAAUAAAGCACCUGUCUUUAGUUUCUUCAGUGAAUUCUGGCGGCAAUAUCGCACUGUCGCCAGCGAUCAUGUCAGGUCUUAUGAUCCAUAAAAAUGGGUGACCGCUUUUUGCAAGUCCCGUUCCAAAUUCAAUGAGCUGCUGCUUUGUAGCGACCGCUACGCUGCCAAAAUUAACAUAAACGACAGAGUUGGGUUUCUGGGAAUCCAGCCAUUGGAGACACUCAA